This is a long non-coding RNA of Perca flavescens (yellow perch), 304 nucleotides long. RefSeq lists it as uncharacterized. The record is from RefSeq and is a predicted model, not a curated record. The transcript has 3 exons. Lineage: Eukaryota; Metazoa; Chordata; Actinopteri; Perciformes; Percidae.
UAUUUCAGGUUCUGAAUGUUGUGGCAGGAAGUUUGGCGAGUGGUCUGAAUGGGCUCUUACAGUAUGUCACGCACUUCCUGCAGGCUACUGGAAUCCAAGACAAAAGGAAAACAACAGGGAAAUGAAGGGACAGUCAACAAGAGAGGGCUAUAAGCAGCAAACAGCUGUUUCUACACGCCUCCCACUGCUGAUUUUAACAGAGAAUGGGUUCCAAAAAUAUGUACAUUAGGUCUCAAGAGUCAGGACCUAGCAAAGUGGGCAACUGCCCCAGAGCCCUACACCCCAGUGGACCCUAAAAUCCCUG